This is a non-coding RNA of Pelodiscus sinensis (Chinese soft-shelled turtle), 172 nucleotides long. The record is from RefSeq and is a predicted model, not a curated record. Lineage: Eukaryota; Metazoa; Chordata; Testudines; Trionychidae.
AACAAAUGCUACGUGGCAAUAACUUUGGCUUAAUAGCUUUUAUGUGUUAACAAGUGAAGAAGAGAAGAAAUAUUACUCCCAUUUGACCGAGGGGGAACCGAGGCACAAGAGUGCUGCCCCUAGCAUCUUCUCUAUCUCUGGCACGACUCCAGCAAGAAGACUCCUCUUCAUU